RNAcentral lists this unclassified non-coding RNA (379 nucleotides) under uncultured Rickettsiaceae bacterium. RNAcentral's name for it is "contains 16S-23S intergenic spacer region". Lineage: Bacteria; Pseudomonadati; Pseudomonadota; Alphaproteobacteria; Rickettsiales; Rickettsiaceae. The record is from RNAcentral.
UCCGGCUUAUCACCGGCAGUUUCCUUAUAGUUCCCGGCCUAACCGCUGGCAAAUAAGGAUGAGGGUUGCGCUCGUUGCGGGACUUAACCCAAUAUCUCACGACACGAGCUGACGACAGCCAUGCAACACCUGUGUGUGGUCCAGCCGAACUGAAGGAUCUCAUCUCUGUGAUCCGCGACCACCAUGUCAAGGGUUGGUAAGGUUUUUCGCGUAGCAUCGAAUUAAACCGCAUGCUCCACCGCUUGUGCGAGCCCCCGUCAAUUCCUUUGAGUUUUAAUCUUGCGAUCGUACUCCCCAGGCGGAGUGCUUAAUGCGUUAGCUUUGAAACCGAAAAAUAAAUUCCCGAUAUCUAGCACUCAUCGUUUACAGCGUGGACUAC